RNAcentral lists this ribosomal RNA (135 nucleotides) under uncultured eukaryote. Its description in RNAcentral is "partial 18S ribosomal RNA". It matches the Rfam family "Eukaryotic small subunit ribosomal RNA", at positions 1299 to 1458 of the family's 1831-position model. The record is from RNAcentral.
UGGUGGAGUGAUUUGUCUGGUUAAUUCCGUUAACGAACGAGACCUUACCCUGCUAAAUAGGAGCCUAAUGUUCAAUUGGGUAUCCUUCUUAGAGGGACUAUGUGUGCAAACACAUGGAAGUUUGAGGCAAUAACA